CAAAUCCCUAAAAGCCAUCCCAGUUCGGAUUGCAGGCUGCAACCCGCCUGUAUGAAGUUGGAAUCGCUAGUAAUCGCGGAUCAGCAUGCCGCGGUGAAUACGUUCCCGGGCCUUGUACACACCGCCCGUCACACCAUGAGAGUCGGGAACACCCGAAGUCCGUAGUCUAACCGCAAGGGGACGCGGCCGAAGGUGGGUUCGAUAAUUGGGGUGAAGUCGUAACAAGGUAUC
Molecule: ribosomal RNA, 231 nt
Filed under: uncultured bacterium
Lineage: Bacteria
Description: partial 16S ribosomal RNA
Rfam family: Bacterial small subunit ribosomal RNA
Source: RNAcentral